Non-coding RNA from Pelobates cultripes (western spadefoot toad), 1166 nucleotides. The record is from the annotation of a GenBank genome assembly. Lineage: Eukaryota; Metazoa; Chordata; Amphibia; Anura; Pelobatidae.
ACGGUUUCCUCCAAGCUAGCUGAAAGUUGGACCGUAGAAAGGAUGCACCUAGUGCUCACCAAAGUACCAUCAGCAACGUCGACACCACAAGUACUGCAGACCCCACAAACGCCGCUGCUGGGUUGGGGUCUCGUCAUCUGCUAUCCACCCUGGACCUAUGACCAGGCUCUAGGUUCCAGUAGGUGAACCUCUUCCUUCUGUAGAGCGAAGCAGGAUCAGGAAUAAGAGCUCAAUAGCUAAGGGAGAAUGAAGAGCAUAGCAAUCCCUGUAGUGAUUAUAGCUGACCCCUCCAAACACGAGUUUAAGCUGCGAGUUGAGGGUCAAGUAGACCUGUUUAAUGAGCACCAAAGGACUUUCUUUCAUACAGGUUUUUCCACAAGGUUACCACCCACGUGGACCUUGUGGAACACAGGACACACAGUUACAGCAGCCAAUCACCACAUUACAGUACAGUCAGACACUCCCAGCAGGCACACAAACCCACUCAAACUCUACACAGUUUUACAUAAUAUCCAUAGCUUCCAAACUAUACAUGUUAUAUUUUCUGAACCAGCAUAAUCAGUUAACAAACUUAUGUAAAAAUCAUCCGAAUCGGUCCAGUGGUUUGGAAGAUAGCUGGAAGUCAUAUUUGACCGACUGCAAGCAUGGCUUUCCUGCCAAAAACAGUUCCACAGAUUUAGGCUGUGCAGACGGUCUAUCUUCUCCUCUAUCCUGGAGAUAAUUGGCUUAAGUGGGUGUGGUAACUUAAUUAUCUCCAGGUACAUGAAAUAUCUCUAAGUAAAAACUGUUACAAACCACAUAAAAAUACAUAAUACAAUGCUUAACCUAUAUGUCCAACAUAUCCCCAGAUAACUUGGAUCUGAGCACUCAAUAUGUCAGAAAAGCGCUCAGAUGUCAUGAAUACAGUUGGAAUGCCAUAUGGUUAUACAAUAGCAAGGUUCAAACUGCAUGCCUUGAACAAAUCACAUAGGACUUCAGCUAAGCACUUCCUGGGAUUCUGCGAGUGGUACCUGCAAAACGCAGAUUCAGGGGGUUACAAAGAUUUUAUUGAUCCAAUAGCAGGAAACAAAUUAAAACAGCAACAUAAAAGAAAGUCUUUAAAAUUAUGAAUAAUGUGGAAAAACUGUAUUUCUCUGCCUGUGAUAAUUACAUUACCCAUUGUGUAA